Molecule: ribosomal RNA, 267 nt
Filed under: uncultured bacterium
Lineage: Bacteria
Description: partial 16S ribosomal RNA
Rfam family: Bacterial small subunit ribosomal RNA
Source: RNAcentral
UAGGGAAUCUUCCACAAUGGACGCAAGUCUGAUGGAGCAACGCCGCGUGAGUGAAGAAGGCUUUCGGGUCGUAAAACUCUGUUAUUGAAGAAGAACGUGUGUGACAGUAACUGGUCAUGCAGUGACGGUAUUCAAUCAGAAAGUCACGGCUAACUACGUGCCAGCAGCCGCGGUAAUACGUAGGUGGCAAGCGUUGUCCGGAUUUAUUGGGCGUAAAGCGAGUGCAGGCGGUCUUUUAAGUCUGAUGUGAAAAGCCUUCGGCUUAAC